AUUGAACGCUGGCGGCAUGCCUUACACAUGCAAGUCGAACGGCAGCACGGGUGCUUGCACCUGGUGGCGAGUGGCGAACGGGUGAGUAAUACAUCGGAACAUGUCCUGUAGUGGGGGAUAGCCCGGCGAAAGCCGGAUUAAUACCGCAUACGAUCUACGGAUGAAAGCGGGGGACCUUCGGGCCUCGCGCUAUAGGGUUGGCCGAUGGCUGAUUAGCUAGUUGGUGGGGUAAAGGCCUACCAAGGCGACGAUCAGUAGCUGGUCUGAGAGGACGACCAGCCACACUGGGACUGAGACACGGCCCAGACUCCUACGGGAGGCAGCAGUGGGGAAUUUUGGACAAUGGGCGAAAGCCUGAUCCAGCAAUGCCGCGUGUGUGAAGAAGGCCUUCGGGUUGUAAAGCACUUUUGUCCGGAAAGAAAUCCUUGGCUCUAAUACAGUCGGGGGAUGACGGUACCGGAAGAAUAAGCACCGGCUAACUAUGUG
Molecule: ribosomal RNA, 486 nt
Filed under: uncultured bacterium
Lineage: Bacteria
Description: partial 16S ribosomal RNA
Rfam family: Bacterial small subunit ribosomal RNA
Source: RNAcentral